AGUGGGAUAACGGGUAACACGAUGGAAGACAAGCUUUCCCUUCUGCUCGGCUUCUCAUCGUGUUACCCAACAUCUCAUC
RNAcentral lists this microRNA precursor (79 nucleotides) under Haemonchus contortus (barber pole worm). Its description in RNAcentral is "microRNA hco-mir-5918d precursor". It matches the Rfam family "mir-5918 microRNA precursor family". Lineage: Eukaryota; Metazoa; Nematoda; Chromadorea; Rhabditida; Trichostrongylidae. The record is from miRBase by way of RNAcentral.